This 304-nucleotide ribosomal RNA is filed under the name uncultured bacterium. RNAcentral's name for it is "partial 16S ribosomal RNA". It matches the Rfam family "Bacterial small subunit ribosomal RNA", at positions 506 to 807 of the family's 1533-position model. The record is from RNAcentral.
CAGCAGUAGCCGCGGUAAUGCGUAGGGUGCGAGCGUUAAUCGGAAUUACUGGGCGUAAAGCGUGCGUAGGCGGUUUGUUAAGUCUGUUGUGAAAUCCCCGGGCUCAACCUGGGAAUGGCAAUGGAUACUGGCAAGCUAGAGUGUGUCAGAGGAUGGUGGAAUUCCAGGUGUAGCGGUGAAAUGCGUAGAGAUCGGGAGGAACAUCAGUGGCGAAGGCGGCCAUCUGGGACAACACUGACGCUGAGGCACGAAAGCGUGGGGAGCAAACAGGAUUAGAUACCCGUGUAGUCCCUGUCUCUUAUAC